CUCUCUCUCUCUCUCUCUAAACCUCUUCUGUUAUCUUCUUCACUGUGAUCACUCGGUUCUCCUUAUGUUGAUUAACAAUCAAAAGGUUUAAAAAGAGUGUAAAAGUAGUUGUAAAAAUAUUUAUCCCUUGAUCCUAUACCCAUAUAUAUAUAUAUAUAUCAUACUUUAUUAAUGUACUAAAUGAUUAUUUUUUGAAUGAAAGUUUUGUUAGACAAAAUCUCAGGCGACGAAAUGUGAGUUUAAGCAACAAAAUUAGUUUUUCAGAAAAAUAUUAUAUUUUUUUAGUGAUAUAACCUGAUUUCCUUUUCGAUGCAUGAUAUUAGGAUAAUAAUACAUCACACUUAUCAAAUUUAACAACAGAAACUUCGUUUGACCCUCUUUAUCCCGCCUUAAUUGAGGUGAGAAGUGGGAAUGGAAAAUAUAAGAGACUGUUGUAGAUCAUAUAAUAGAAAUAAAACUGACUUGUAUUGUGAACUCUACUUUUAUUAGAGAGAUAUUUAGAUGUGGUCUAGAAAAUUAUUAAGAAUAUUCGCUUAGGUAUAUAUUAUUUAAGUCCUAAGUUUCCAAGUUGUUGAUAAACAAGUGGAAAAAAGAAGGAAAAUGACAAAAUAAAUGGACUCUCCCAACUCACCACGUGCUUUUGAAUUAGGACAAAGAGAUUAUCAUAUUUUACUAAUUAUAUGCUAAUUUAAAGUCUACAAAUAAAAGUAUCUAUGAUAAUUAGUUCCCUUGUCAUCAGGGUAUUGAAUAAUUUGAAUGGACCUUUUUUCUUUUCGUUUUCCUCUUCAAAUAAACGCAUGCAGUAUUGAUUGCAUUUUCUUGUGAAAUUAACCAAAUAGAAACAUGGAGAAGGCAUUCUAGAAGAGUAGAAGGUCAUUUACAUAUGAACAAUAGAAGAAAAGAAGUCCUUAUCAAGCGGCCAUUAUUUGUAGGGAGGUACUAUUCAUGCAUCCUUUUUUAUCUCUCAAACAUCACUUUCAAUUAAGCUGUCGGAUCAAAUAAUUUAAAAAAUAUCAAAUAACAAAAAUUAACAAGAAUGUAUAAGAGGUAACAAUAGGUGAAUAAAAAACUCGCCCCAU
Molecule: long non-coding RNA, 1079 nt
Filed under: Malus domestica (apple)
Lineage: Eukaryota; Viridiplantae; Streptophyta; Magnoliopsida; Rosales; Rosaceae
Description: long non-coding RNA (MDOM_LNC005201)
Source: RNAcentral